This is a non-coding RNA of Paramisgurnus dabryanus, 1043 nucleotides long. NCBI's taxonomy places the organism in Eukaryota, Metazoa, Chordata, Actinopteri, Cypriniformes, Cobitidae. The record is from RefSeq and is a predicted model, not a curated record.
CGUUAAAAUCUGGUUUAAGAGCAAAAAAACUACCUGUGCCAAUCAGUUUUUGCCAUUUAUGGGCUUUACCCUAUAAAAGAAAACCAUUUUAUGCAUUUAAAUGACCUUACACGUUAUCAGUUUAUUAAGCGUUUAGACUAUGUAGACACACUCACUGUGCACUAAAAUUAAAAAAAAUUGGUUAACACGACCACUCGUGGUGGCUUCACUCAGAGGUUGGAGAAGACAACCGGUGGACUAAACAUCAAGCCUCUGCACAAUUCAGGUAAGUGGAAUAAAAUACAUUGUAAAUAAACAUUAUUAAAACAGAUUGUGAAGUCAUUCAUUCAAAACUUGCUAUGACCUAAGCCUAAAUGACUUAAUUUCUUUUUAGAAUUAAGACAACCUUAGCAGGAGAGCCCUAGCAGUAACUUUCUCUCAAGCAGAUGAGCAAUAAGUUGCUUUGUAUGAACACCACCCUAACAAUCAAGUAGCCUGUUAACAGUAGACCAAAGGUAUGAUGAUCAAUUAUAAAUGCAAUAUGGUUGAAAGGUCAGUAAACAAACAACAAAAAGGUAAUUUCUUAAUAGAAUGUCUAUACAUUUUUUGCUUUUGUUACAUAUUUCAUACAUCAAAAUCAUUAAACGUUAAUAAUUAUGUAUUCCAACUUGUUGCAGCUUGACAAAAAUGUAGCUUGAAGGAGAAGGGACAGCUGAGUAACAAAGUCCUGGUAUGCAGACGACGAUACUAUUACACUGACAAGAGUGUAAUGAUGAUGGAGACACAAGCCAGAGAAAGUGGGGACCAAACACCCGGCCAGAAUUCUGCAUGAGUCAGAUCCAGUGGGUGCAGAUCAUCAUACAGAUGGUUCAAGUGUGGAUCCACCUAAUAUUCAAGAUUUUCUGUCCUGGGACACUCGGCUAACCAUCAAGAAAGAACACAGUAGGUUAACAAGAAUCUGACCUCACGUUUGAUCAUUACAAAAUUAUGGCAGUACAUUACACAUUUAAGGACUGUUAUUCCUCUGGCUGAUUUAAAAAUACCCAAAAGUUCUUAAAAAGAAG